CCUACGGGUGGCAGCAGUGAGGAAUAUUGGGCAAUGGGCGAGAGCCUGAACCAGCCAAGUCGCGUGAGGGAGUACUGCCCUAUGGGUUGUAAACCUCUUUUGUCGGGGAGCAAAAGCCGGACGUGUCCGGCUGUGAGAGUACCCGAAGAAAAAGCAUCGGCUAACUCCGUGCCAGCAGCCGCGGUAAUACGGAGGAUGCGAGCGUUAUCCGGAUUUAUUGGGGUAAAAGGGUGCGCAGGCGGAUUUUUAAGUCAGCGGUCAAAUCGUGGGGCUCAACCCCAUCCAGCCGUUGAAACUGGGGAUCUAGAGUGUGCGAGAGGUAUGCGGAAUGCGUGGUGUAGCGGUGAAAUGCAUAGAUAUCACGCAGAACCCCGAUUGCGAAGGCAGCAUACCGGUGCACAACUGACGCUCAGGCACGAAAGCGUGGGUAUCGAACAGGAUUAGAUACCCCUGUAGUC
This 458-nucleotide ribosomal RNA is filed under the name uncultured bacterium. RNAcentral describes it as "partial 16S ribosomal RNA". It matches the Rfam family "Bacterial small subunit ribosomal RNA", at positions 338 to 795 of the family's 1533-position model. The record is from RNAcentral.